AGGCUGCAAGUACAUUUGUACAUGUACAUUGCAAAUGGAAGGAGUGAGCUUGGAAUGUUCAACUUUACUUGGAAACUAUUGGCAAAGUACUGACAGAAUUUCAUGAGAAGCCAGUAAUAUAUAACUAGUCUUGCAACCGGAAACUAUGCGUAAAGUGCUGAAACUUAAGAACAACAUUCUACAUGUAUAUAUGCAAUAUGUGUUGCCACAAUCCACUUAAGGAGCUAAGAUCAACUAUAAAUUGGAACUACAUGUAUAUGCUUUAGUGCUGUCAAAAUCCUUUAAAAAAUCAAAUCAAUAGGACCUACUUCACCUAAUAUACAAGCUACCUGUCCCAA
This 338-nucleotide long non-coding RNA is filed under the name Mytilus galloprovincialis (Mediterranean mussel). The record is from RNAcentral. Lineage: Eukaryota; Metazoa; Mollusca; Bivalvia; Mytilida; Mytilidae.